AUUGAACGCUGGCGGCAGGCCUAACACAUGCAAGUCGAACGGUAGCACAGAGAGCUUGCUCUCGGGUGACGAGUGGCGGACGGGUGAGUAAUGUCUGGGAAACUGCCCGAUGGAGGGGGAUAACUACUGGAAACGGUAGCUAAUACCGCAUAACGUCGCAAGACCAAAGAGGGGGGACCUUCGGGCCGUCUUGCCAUCGGAUGUGCCCACGGUGGGAGUUAGCUUGUAGGUGAGG
Molecule: ribosomal RNA, 235 nt
Filed under: uncultured bacterium
Lineage: Bacteria
Description: partial 16S ribosomal RNA
Rfam family: Bacterial small subunit ribosomal RNA
Source: RNAcentral